CCUACGGGGCGCAGCAGUCGAGAAUCAUUCACAAUGGGGGAAACCCUGAUGGUGCGACGCCGCGUGGGGGAAUGAAGGUCUUCGGAUUGUAAACCCCUGUCAUGUGGGAGCAAAUUAAAAAGAUAGUACCACAAGAGGAAGAGACGGCUAACUCUGUGCCAGCAGCCGCGGUAAUACAGAGGUCUCAAGCGUUGUUCGGAACCACUGGGCGUAAAGCGUGCGUAGGCUGUUUCGUAAGUCGUGUGUGAAAGGCGCGGGCUCAACCCGCGGCCGGCACAUGAUACUGCGAGACUAGAGUAGUGGAGGGGGAACCGGAAUGCUCGGUGUAGCAGUGAAAUGCGUAGAUAUCGAGAGGAACACUCGUGGCGAAGGCGGGUUCCUGGACAUUAACUGACGCUGAGGCACGAAGGCCAGGGGAGCGAAAGGGAUUAGAUACCCCAAUAGUC
Molecule: ribosomal RNA, 446 nt
Filed under: uncultured bacterium
Lineage: Bacteria
Description: partial 16S ribosomal RNA
Rfam family: Bacterial small subunit ribosomal RNA
Source: RNAcentral